Molecule: small nuclear RNA, 107 nt
Filed under: Octodon degus (degu)
Lineage: Eukaryota; Metazoa; Chordata; Mammalia; Rodentia; Octodontidae
Source: RNAcentral
GUGCCUUCUUUGGCUGCACAUAUACUAAAAUUGGAACGAUACAGAGAAGAUUAGCAUGGCCUUUGUGCAAGGGUGAUGCGCAAAUUCAUGAAGCAUUCCAUGUUUUU